GGAUGUGAAGGUGAUCUGCUGUGAUGUCUGUCACCCCAUUGAUUACCAUCGUUGAUUCGGCUGAUCUGGCUGACUAGGUGGGGGCUCCCUCCUCCCUCACUGCUCCAUGUGCAGCCAUCCUGAAGCUGCGUGCUCGAAGAGGAUGACCUUCCCUGAACAGAGGAGGUCUGGUCUUUGGUCAAGGGUAUGAGUAGCUGCACUCACAGAUGCUAGCCCCAGACUACUAUACCCAACAAAACUUU
Molecule: small nuclear RNA, 242 nt
Filed under: Neotoma lepida (desert woodrat)
Lineage: Eukaryota; Metazoa; Chordata; Mammalia; Rodentia; Cricetidae
Description: 7SK RNA
Rfam family: 7SK RNA
About the family: 7SK was discovered as an abundant small nuclear RNA in the mid-70s but a possible function has only recently been suggested. Two independent studies have found that 7SK RNA binds the CDK9/cyclin T complex (known as elongation factor P-TEFb).
Source: Rfam by way of RNAcentral